Molecule: ribosomal RNA, 402 nt
Filed under: uncultured bacterium
Lineage: Bacteria
Description: bacterial SSU rRNA
Rfam family: Bacterial small subunit ribosomal RNA
Source: RNAcentral
UGGGGAAUAUUGGACAAUGGGCGAAAGCCUGAUCCAGCCGUGCCGCGUGAGUGAUGAAGGCCCUAGGGUUGUAAAGCUCUUUUGUGCGGGAAGAUAAUGACGGUACCGCAAGAAUAAGCCCCGGCUAACUUCGUGCCAGCAGCCGCGGUAAUACGAAGGGGGCUAGCGUUGCUCGGAAUCACUGGGCGUAAAGGGUGCGUAGGCGGGUUUCUAAGUCAGAGGUGAAAGCCUGGAGCUCAACUCCAGAACUGCCUUUGAUACUGGAAGUCUUGAGUUCGGGAGAGGUGAGUGGAACUGCGAGUGUAGAGGUGAAAUUCGUAGAUAUUCGCAAGAACACCAGUGGCGAAGGCGGCUCACUGGCCCGAUACUGACGCUGAGGCACGAAAGCGUGGGGAGCAAACA